GCUUCUAUCGUUCAUCGGCUAGGACACUACUCUGUCACAGUAGAGAAAUGAGUUCGAUUCUCAUUAGAAGCG
Molecule: transfer RNA, 72 nt
Filed under: Lachnospira eligens
Lineage: Bacteria; Bacillati; Bacillota; Clostridia; Lachnospirales; Lachnospiraceae
Description: [Eubacterium] eligens tRNA-Asp
Rfam family: tRNA
About the family: Transfer RNA (tRNA) molecules are approximately 80 nucleotides in length. Their secondary structure includes four short double-helical elements and three loops (D, anti-codon, and T loops).
Source: RNAcentral